GAUGAACGCUGGCGGCGUGCCUAAUACUGCAAAUUGAGCCAACAGAACAGGAACUUUCUUCUCCGGCGUUAGCGGCCGACGGGUGAGGAACACGUUGGUAACCUAACUAUAAGGCUGGGAAAACUUCGGGAAAACGGAGCCAAUACCGGAUAAUAUAUUUAAACGGAUGGUUUAAUAGUUGAAAACGGUUUUUCUGUUCCCUAUAAGUGGAUCCGCGCCGCAUUAGCUAGUUGGUAAGGUAACGGCUUACCAAGGCAACGAUGCGUAGCCGACCUGAGAGGGUGAUCGGCCACACUGGAACUGAGACACGGUCCAGACUCCUACGGGAGGCAGCAGUAGGGAAUCUUCCGCAAUGGGCGAAAGCCUGACGGAGCAACGCCGCGUGAGUGAUGAAGGUCUUCGGAUCGUAAAACUCUGUUAUUAGGGAAGAACAAAUGUGUAAGUAACUAUGCACGUCUUGACGGUACCUAAUCAGAAAGCCACGGCUAACUACGUG
This 496-nucleotide ribosomal RNA is filed under the name uncultured bacterium. RNAcentral describes it as "partial 16S ribosomal RNA". It matches the Rfam family "Bacterial small subunit ribosomal RNA", at positions 28 to 507 of the family's 1533-position model. The record is from RNAcentral.